AAGGACCUGUCUGCUGGAGGAACGCUGUCUGCUUGAGGGAGGUUGUGAGAGGAGGGUAGAGGUCAGCCUGGAAAGUGACCUUUCUCAAGGGGGCACUGGGAGCCACUGACACUUUAAGCAGAACAAGUGACAGGAACAGAUUUUUGGUUUAAGAGAAUUUUUCAAUAUUUCUCAACCAUAUUAUCUGCCUCCUUUUGAGAAAUAGAAAAAGCCGACAUUUACUGUCACACUGGUCUUUAGAAAACAAUAGCUCAUGCCCAGCUCCCCAGAGCGCCUCCCUCACACCCCGAGGAGAUUGCCACAGCUUCCCUCACCCCAGAGCCAAGUCUGGCCUCACA
Molecule: long non-coding RNA, 338 nt
Organism: Cebus imitator (Panamanian white-faced capuchin)
Lineage: Eukaryota; Metazoa; Chordata; Mammalia; Primates; Cebidae
Exons: 3
Source: RefSeq, a predicted model, not a curated record